RNAcentral lists this ribosomal RNA (1336 nucleotides) under metagenome. RNAcentral's name for it is "bacterial SSU rRNA". It matches the Rfam family "Bacterial small subunit ribosomal RNA". The record is from RNAcentral.
AGAGUUUGAUCCUGGCUCAGGAUGAACGCUGGCGGCGUGCUUAACACAUGCAAAUCGAACGAUCCUUCGGGAUAGUGGCGGACGGGUGAGUAACGCGUGGGAAUCUGCCCUCAGGAGGGGGAUAACGGCUGGAAACGGCCGCUAAUACCCCAUAUGCCGAGAGGUGAAAUGAAUUUCGCCUGAGGAUGAGCCCGCGUCUGAUUAGCUAGUUGGUGGGGUAAAGGCCUACCAAGGCAACGAUCAGUAGCUGGUCUGAGAGGAUGAUCAGCCACACUGGGACUGAGACACGGCCCAGACUCCUACGGGAGGCAGCAGUGGGGAAUUUUCCGCAAUGGGCGAAAGCCUGACGGAGCAACGCCGCGUGAGGGAUGAAGGCCUCUGGGCUGUAACCUCUUUUCUCAAGGAAGAAGACCUGACGGUACUUGAGGAAUAAGCCACGGCUAAUUCCGUGCCAGCAGCCGCGGUAAUACGGGAGUGGCAAGCGUUAUCCGGAAUUAUUGGGCGUAAAGCGUCCGCAGGCGGCCUUGUAAGUCUGUUGUUAAAGCGUGGAGCUCAACUCCAUUUAAGCAAUGGAAACUACAAGGCUGGAGUGUGGUAGGGGCAGAGGGAAUUCCCGGCGUAGCGGUGAAAUGCGUAGAUAUCGGGAAGAACACCAGUGGCGAAGGCGCUCUGCUGGGCCAUAACUGACGCUCAUGGACGAAAGCCAGGGGAGCGAAAGGGAUUAGAUACCCCUGUAGUCCUGGCCGUAAACGAUGAACACUAGGUGUCGGGGGAAUCGACCCCCUCGGUGUCGUAGCCAACGCGUUAAGUGUUCCGCCUGGGGAGUACGCACGCAAGUGUGAAACUCAAAGGAAUUGACGAGGGCCCGCACAAGCGGUGGAGUAUGUGGUUUAAUUCGAUGCAACGCGAAGAACCUUACCAGGGUUUGACAUCCUGCGAACCCCUGAGAAAUCGGGGGGUGCCUUCGGGAGCGCAGAGACAGGUGGUGCAUGGCUGUCGUCAGCUCGUGUCGUGAGAUGUUGGGUUAAGUCCCGCAACGAGCGCAACCCACGUCUUUAGUUGCCAGCAUUCAGUUGGGCACUCUAGAGAGACCGCCGGUGAUAAACCGGAGGAAGGUGUGGAUGACGUCAAGUCAUCAUGCCCCUUACAUCCUGGGCUACACACGUACUACAAUGCUACGGACAAAGGGCAGCAAGCUCGCGAGAGUUAGCAAAUCCCAUAAACCGUGGCUCAGUUCAGAUCGUAGGCUGCAACCCGCCUACGUGAAGGAGGAAUCGCUAGUAAUCGCAGGUCAGCAUACUGCGGUGAAUACGUUCCCGGGCCUUGUACACACCGC